Molecule: non-coding RNA, 324 nt
Organism: Pocillopora verrucosa
Lineage: Eukaryota; Metazoa; Cnidaria; Anthozoa; Scleractinia; Pocilloporidae
Source: RefSeq, a predicted model, not a curated record
UACGAAAUACGCCGUAGCAGACAAGAGAAAUAAUUAAGUUUUAAGUUGUUUUGAAAAAGUUAUCUGUACUUUCUCCUCGCUAAAUUGAGAAUUAAUCAAGUAGAGGAUGGACGGAACCGUGGUGGAUCAGUCAAGUACAGAUAAUGAUUCCCUUACUAUGGCAGAAGCCGUCAAAAUGAUCACCAAAGCUUAUGACCUCUGCUUUUCAAACAAGUUUCUACAAGCAAAGGCAGACAUAGAGCCAUGGAUCAACAAAAGCAUGUACCAUGCAGUUGCAUACAGCAGUAUUAUGUGCAUUCAAGCUCUGUUGAAAUUUGAACAGGU